GAUGAAGAACGCAGCGAAAUGCGAUAAGUAAUGUGAAUUGCAGAAUUCAGUGAAUCAUCGAAUCUUUGAACGCACAUUGCGCCCGCCAGCACUCUGGCGGGCAUGCCUGUCCGAGCGUCAUUUCAACCCUCAGGGCCCCUUGGGGGGACCUGGCGUUGGGGAUCGGCCCGCCCCCGUGCGGCGCCGUCCCCGAAAUAUAGUGGCGGUCUCGCUGCAGCCUCCCCUGCGUAGUAGCACACCUCGCACUGGAGAGCGGCGCGGCCACGCCGUGAAACCCCCAACUUCUGAAUGUUGACCUCGGAUCAGGUAGGAAUACCCGCUGAACUUAAGCAUAUCAAUAAGCGGAGGA
Molecule: unclassified non-coding RNA, 349 nt
Filed under: soil metagenome
Description: partial contains 5.8S ribosomal RNA, internal transcribed spacer 2, and large subunit ribosomal RNA
Rfam family: 5.8S ribosomal RNA (bases 1-120)
Source: RNAcentral